GAAAUGCGAUAAGUAAUGUGAAUUGCAGAAUUCAGUGAAUCAUCGAAUCUUUGAACGCACCUUGCACCCUUUGGUAUUCCGAAGGGUAUGCCCGUUUGAGUGUCAUUGUAAUCUCACACCCUAAACUCUUUUGUUUUGGGAGGUGGACUUGGACGCUGUUGCCUUACGGCGACUCGUCUCAAAUGUCUUAGUGUGAACCCUAUGCUAGCGUUCAACGCCCGGUGUGAUAAGUAUUUCGCCGUGGUUAGCUUGCGUUUGGCUGUAGCGCUUUACAACCGUCUUAGGACUCAAUCUCACGAUUGACUUGACAACUUGACCUCAAAUCGGGUAGGACUACCCGCUGAACUUAA
This 350-nucleotide unclassified non-coding RNA is filed under the name uncultured Sebacinaceae. RNAcentral describes it as "sequence contains ITS1". The stretch from base 1 to 105 matches the Rfam family "5.8S ribosomal RNA", at positions 50 to 154 of the family's 154-position model. The record is from RNAcentral. Lineage: Eukaryota; Fungi; Basidiomycota; Agaricomycetes; Sebacinales; Sebacinaceae.